AGAGAGAGACAGAGAGAGAGAGAGAGAGAGAGAGAGAGAGAGGCCCUUUAUGCAAAGGGAUCCCCAUUUUUUCAAAAAAAUGGGAUUAGGUGUGGGGCCCACUCCACUUCGAAUUUUAACGAUCCGAACCGUCUAUUUUGUAAGUCUCGAUUCAUAGAUCAUCCUUGAAAAAAUUCAAUUCAAUCCAAAACCAUUUGCCUAUUUAAUUAUCAAAAUCAAAUUUCAUUGUUUUUUAUAUAACAAAGUAUUCGUUCAUUUCUUUUAACCUAAUUAGAUGUCUUAAUUAUUUCUGAUUUAACUAAUAUUUUGUAAGGGUGAUUUAUGAGGUACAACUUGAAAAAUAGACGGUUCGGAUCAUUAAAGUUCGAUGUGGUGUGGACCCCACAACUAAUCCCCAUUUUUAUAAA
Molecule: long non-coding RNA, 407 nt
Filed under: Malus domestica (apple)
Lineage: Eukaryota; Viridiplantae; Streptophyta; Magnoliopsida; Rosales; Rosaceae
Description: long non-coding RNA (MDOM_LNC012448)
Source: RNAcentral